Molecule: non-coding RNA, 78 nt
Filed under: marine eukaryotic metagenome
Description: S-adenosyl-L-homocysteine riboswitch
Rfam family: SAH (S-adenosyl-L-homocysteine) riboswitch aptamer
Source: RNAcentral
GCCGAGGAGCGUUGCAACGGGUAUCUUCCCGCCAGGCUCGGAUUGCACGGCGUCUAUCUUUGACCAACGGCGCUCAGU